Molecule: long non-coding RNA, 132 nt
Organism: Sphaeramia orbicularis (orbiculate cardinalfish)
Lineage: Eukaryota; Metazoa; Chordata; Actinopteri; Kurtiformes; Apogonidae
Exons: 3
Source: RefSeq, a predicted model, not a curated record
AUGUUUGUUUUAAACUCUUCUUCUUCGCUUGUUGUAACAUCCAUCAACAUCCGUUUUUUUUGUUCGUGUGACUGUAGUUGUGCAAAAAGUCUUUGCCAUAUUUCAAGGUUUUUUUAUGUGAUAGACCCAUUU